Molecule: non-coding RNA, 95 nt
Organism: Mycena polygramma
Lineage: Eukaryota; Fungi; Basidiomycota; Agaricomycetes; Agaricales; Mycenaceae
Source: the annotation of a GenBank genome assembly
GGUUCAGUGGCACGGUGGAUAGCGCGUCAUCAUAAUCAUUGAAGCUGUUCAUAUGUCUACAAUGAAGGCCCCUUGUUCGAGUCAGGGCUGCACCA